GACGAACGCUGGCGGCGUGCCUAACACAUGCAAGUCGAACGAACAGACGAGGCGCUUGCUCCUCUGACGUUAGCGGCGGACGGGUGAGUAACAUGUGUAUAACCUACCUAUAAGACUGGGAUAAUUACGGGAAACCGGAUCUAAUACCGGAUAAUAUAUUGCACCGCAUGGUUCAAUAGUGAGAUUCGGUUUUUCUGUCUGUAAUAGAUGGUUACGCGCCGUAUUAGGUGGUUGUUAAGGUAAUGGCAUACCAAGGCGAGGAUGGGUAGCCGACCUGAGAGGGUGAUCGGCCACACGGGAAGUGAGACACGGACCAGACUCCUGCGGGAGGAAGCAGUCGGGAAUCUUACGCAAUGGGCGAGAGCCUGACGGAGCAACGCGGAGUGAGUGAUGAAGGUCCUCGGAGCGGAAAGCUCUGUUAUUAGGGGAGAACAAAUGUGUAAGUAACUGUGCAGGUAUUGACGGUACCUGGUCAAAAAGCCACGGCUAACUACGUG
This 497-nucleotide ribosomal RNA is filed under the name uncultured bacterium. Its description in RNAcentral is "partial 16S ribosomal RNA". It matches the Rfam family "Bacterial small subunit ribosomal RNA", at positions 28 to 507 of the family's 1533-position model. The record is from RNAcentral.